This 82-nucleotide transfer RNA is filed under the name Magnaporthiopsis poae ATCC 64411. RNAcentral's name for it is "Magnaporthe poae ATCC 64411 tRNA-Asp for anticodon GUC". It matches the Rfam family "tRNA". From Rfam's summary of the family: Transfer RNA (tRNA) molecules are approximately 80 nucleotides in length. The record is from Rfam by way of RNAcentral. Lineage: Eukaryota; Fungi; Ascomycota; Sordariomycetes; Magnaporthales; Magnaporthaceae.
UCUUUGGUAGUAUAGUGGUUAGUAUGUGAGCUUGUCAUCAAAAACAACGCUCGAGACCCGGGUUCAAUUCCCGGCCAGAGAG